This is a non-coding RNA of Oryctolagus cuniculus (rabbit), 311 nucleotides long. The record is from RefSeq and is a predicted model, not a curated record. Lineage: Eukaryota; Metazoa; Chordata; Mammalia; Lagomorpha; Leporidae.
CAGGCACGUUAUUAACAUCAAUAGUCUCCCCACAACAUGGCAAUGAGAGAGCUUGGAUUCGGUCUGCCUGAUUAGUAAGGCGGUAAGCACCAGCAGGCAGCUCGACCAGAGUAUGAGCUGCAGGUCACCGAAGACAGGCACGCAUCAGCGCCUAAAAACCUCCUCACAACAUGGCGAAGAGAGGACCCGGAUUCGGUUUGCCUGAUUGAUAGGACUUGUAAGAACCUGUGGCAACUCUAGCAAGUAGAGCAGAGUGUGUGCCGCGGGACACCGAAGACAGGCGCGUAUCAACGCCAAAAAAUAAAAAGAAA